GAUGAACGCUGGCUACAGGCUUAACACAUGCAAGUCGAGCGGAAACGCCGUGGGAGCUUGCUUCUCCGGGCGUCGACCGGCGCACGGGUGAGUAACGCGUAUCCAACCUGCCUCUGACUGAGGGAUAACCCGUCGAAAGUCCGCCUAAAACCCCAUGGCACUGUCUGCGGGCAUCCAACGACGAUUGACGUUUUCAGCUGUCAGGGAUGGGGAUGCGUCUGAUUAGCUUGGUGGCUGGGUAACGGCCCACCCAGGCGACGAUCAGUAGGGGUUCUGAGAGGAAGGUCCCCUACAUUGGAACCGAGACACGGACCAAACUCGUACGGGAGGGAGGAGUAAGGAAGAUUGGUCAAUGGACGAGAGCCUGACCCAGCCACGUAGCGGGCAGGAGGACGGCCCUAUGGGAUGUAAACUGCUGUUAUGCAAGGAUAAAGUGAGGGACGUGUCCUUUAUUGCAGGUACCGAAUGAAUAAGGACCGGCUAAUUCCGUG
This 491-nucleotide ribosomal RNA is filed under the name uncultured bacterium. RNAcentral describes it as "partial 16S ribosomal RNA". It matches the Rfam family "Bacterial small subunit ribosomal RNA", at positions 28 to 507 of the family's 1533-position model. The record is from RNAcentral.